UGAAAUCGAAAACAUCAAAGUAGCAACAACAACAUAACCCAAACAUAUCUGCUACAUUUCGAGACCAUCUCACCACCACCGUGCUACACAUCUCAUGAACUUGUCCAUGAUACAUAACCACCACCUAUCAUGAACUCAACCGUGUGAUAUACAACCAUACAGUUUCCUCACUUGCGAUGAACUAUUUCCUCCCGCUACAAAACAAAACUCUCAACACCAACCUUAAACAACAUCACGGGACAUUUGGUAAUAAAUUCUGAUUAAGAACCC
RNAcentral lists this long non-coding RNA (270 nucleotides) under Lathyrus oleraceus (garden pea). RNAcentral describes it as "Pisum sativum (pea) long non-coding RNA (PSAT_LNC007130)". The record is from RNAcentral. Lineage: Eukaryota; Viridiplantae; Streptophyta; Magnoliopsida; Fabales; Fabaceae.